GUUGGUAAUAACUUAUAGAAGAGAAUGCAAUAGAUGCUUUACUUUGGUUAUAUGUUAUUGGAUGAUGUUGACUACCUUCUAGAAAUAGUUUCUUGUUUCAUCUAUGCACUAUGUUAUGAUCAUCUUGUAUUAACUUGUAUAAGCAUUGCACCUCGGACAUCUUGCACUCCACUCAUGAGCACACAUGCAUCAUACAGGCUCGCAGGAGAAUGAGGUGGGACCC
RNAcentral lists this long non-coding RNA (223 nucleotides) under Sorghum bicolor (sorghum). RNAcentral describes it as "long non-coding RNA (SBIC_LNC010950)". Lineage: Eukaryota; Viridiplantae; Streptophyta; Magnoliopsida; Poales; Poaceae. The record is from RNAcentral.